RNA transcript from Orcinus orca (killer whale), 3460 nucleotides. It is a transcript of the gene named collagen alpha-1(I) chain-like, with no coding region annotated. NCBI's taxonomy places the organism in Eukaryota, Metazoa, Chordata, Mammalia, Artiodactyla, Delphinidae. The transcript is spliced from 9 exons. The record is from RefSeq and is a predicted model, not a curated record.
CCUCCCCUUGUCGUUACUUCUACAAACUGUGUCCUCAUCUGCUGUAUCUCGUGUGUUGCAGAGAAUAAACAGAGCAUGGACAGCUUGGAGCAAGCACUAGGGAAGCGCGUUACUACUCACACUCGGGACCACAUUUUCCCAGAGCCUGUUUCUCGUGCUGUCUGUCCCCAGAUGAGGGAGACAGUGCCAUGUGUUAGGUAGGACAGCUUACUCUCUGGGGCCCGGUUUUCUUUUCUGUGAAAUGGGGAUGAAAACGAUACCACCUACUUCAUAGAGUUGCUUCAAGGAAGGAUUACGUGUACGUAGCAUUUUGUGUCCUGGCAUACAGUUAGUUGUUGGGAGCUGCUGCCUGUAUUGGGCAUAUAUCACAUACCAUAUAAUGCAGUUGCAAGCUUCAGAUAUACAGUUGACAUUUGAACAACACGGGUUUGAACUGCACGGGCCCACUUAUGCUCAGAUUUUUUUCAAUGGUAAAUACUACAGCACUACACCAUCCCAGGUAGGUUGAAUCCUCGGAUAUGGAGGGCAGACUAUAAGUUAUAUGUGGAUUUUUGACUGCAAAGAGGUUUGGGCCCCUAACCCCCGCAUUGCUUAAGGGCUAACCGUAUGUAUAAAAUAGAUGCUCAUUUGGGACUGCAAACACAUGCACACACGUCGCUCUCUAUCAGGGCCACAGUCCUCACCCCACACUGCCACCCACGUGGCCGAGAAACCUGCAUCAGAGUCAGGUUUCUCUGAGACUUGGCUGAGGCCCAGGCCCUGGCUCAGAUGUCAGGGCCCCACGUUACUGAGCCCAGGAGCCUUUGUCUCCUCCUUGCGCCUGUCCGCAGCUCCUCAUCUUCCUCCUCUCUCCGGGAGCAGCUGGGGGAGGGGAGGGGGGUGGACGUCCUCCCUGGCCCCCUGCCCCAUGGAGCAGGCAGCCACACCUGGGGGCCUAGGGCUCCCCUGUAGCCCCAAGCAGGCCUUGGCCCUGUACCAGCACCUCUUCCGGUGCCCUGCAGGCCUGGGCCAGCUCUGGGCUGCCCUGCAGCAGGUGAGGGUGACAGGGCACCAUCUACGAGGGGGCAGGCUCUCCGUGGGGUCUGACUCCACCUUGCCUCCCCAUGUGGGAGACGGCCGGACCUGUCCCUCAGGCCUCGAACUGCCCACCGUGCUGCUGCAGAUGGAGCGGAGCCGGCGGGCCCAGGAGCAGCUCCUGUGGGAUUUGGAGCUGCUGACCGGGGCGGGGCUGGGCCUCUCCUGGCCCCCCUGGGCCCAGUUCUGCGGUCUGAGGGACUGGUCCCAGUGUGCGUGGAGCCAGUGCAGCAAGCCCUGUGGUAGGACGGAUGGGGGCUCUGAGCGGCGGACGAGUGGGAAUUCCAGGCUGUGCCCAUCGCCCCAGGCUGAGGACUCCCUGAGCCAGGACCGUCAGCUUCUGGAGGGGGGGCUGGCAAAGGACCCGUCAUCAGCCCUGGAUCUGACUGAAGCCAGCUUUGAUGCAGACCCAAGGUGGGAGAGCCCUGGCAUGCCUGCAGAAGGGCCCACAUCUGGUUGCUCACAAGAGCUGAACCUCACCACCAGCAGUAGCUCUGGAGAACCAGGAAGCUCAGAGUUCAAGGAGCUGGCCCAGAGGGAAGACGGGGAGCUAGCAGGGCCCACGCCCCAGGGGCCCCAUCAACCACCAUCCAGAAGCCUACAGGAGAAGAAGCUGGCUCAGGGAGCCCCAGGGCCCUCAGGCCUCCCCUCCCAGGGCCUGCCAGAACCCCCGGAUCCCCUGGAGGGGCUGGGCUGCAGCCUGGGCCAGGAGAGAGCAGAACUAAAGAAACUGCUAAGAAUUGAGAUUCCUCAGAGUCAGAGAGAGGGGGCCCCUCAGGAUCAGAGAGGGAAGGCCCUCCAGGGGGAGGACAAAGAAGUUCCCCCAAGUAAGAGAGAGAAGACAAACGAGGGUCAGAGCGGGGAGGCCCCUCAGGCUCUGAGGGAAGAGGUCUCGGAAGGUCAAAGGUGGGAGGCCUCCCAGGGUGAGAACGAAGAGGCACCUCGAAGUCAAAGCGGAAGUCGCCUUAAGCGCCGGAAAAAGGAGGCCCUCCCGGAGCAGAGCGAGGAUUCUCCUCAGGGCCCGGAAGUGAAGACGCUUCAGUCUUCCGAGGGCAGAGGCCGUAUCUCACAAGCCUGGGAGGUGGCUCGGGGAGAGGCACCUACACCGCCCCGGGAGGAAGGCGGCUCCCUGGGGAUUCCGGGGGGCUUCUGCAGGCCCCUGGGAGAACGGAUGCCGCAGCCUGGGGGAAGGGAGGGCCCGGACCCGCGGGGAAGAACCACGCAACUGAGGCAGGUUAAGACCGGUGGCCCGAGAGGAGAGAGCGCAGCGGCCGUGAGAGAGCAGGGGCCCGCCCGGGAAGGGGCGCCGGCUCCCCUUACGCCCCCGGGGCCUCCGGCCCGGCCGCCGCUCCCACGCCCAGGAGCGGUGUUGCUGGCGGCCCUACGCACUGGUGGUUCCGAGCAGCGGGAGCGCCCCGCAGCUCUCCCAGGGCAUCCGGGCCUGCUGAGCGAUCCGCACUCGCUUCGGGGCCCGGGAGGAAGCCCUGGCCCCGCGGAGCAGGAGCUGGGCGGCUCCAUGGGGCUCCCGGGCGCCCUCGGGGGGCGGAGGGAAGGUGCCGAGGCCCCCAGAGCCUCGAAGACCGCGUGGCCCGAGUCCCCGAGCAGGGACAGGCGGUCUGCGGGCGUGAGCGCGGCGCAGCAGGAGACGGCUCUGCAGCGGCUGCCGGAGCUGCACAGUGAGGCCAGGCGUCGGCGGCAACAGGACCGCGAGCAGCAGCGGCUCCGGGUCUUGGAACGCCUCCGCAUCGCCAGGAACCGCCACUGCCGCGUGCACCCCUUGAGACCCCCACCGAGCCCGGCUCAGCUCCCACGACAGGCAAGACCCCUAGGAGAAGGCGGUGGGGCCGCCAAAACCCUGCCUGGGCGGGGGACGGGGCGCGACCUGGGUCCCUUUGACUUGCGCGCACCGCGCACUUGCGAUGACACCUGCGGAGCGGGAGGGGCCGGCCUGCCUGGCUGCUGCCCUCUGCUGGCCGCAUCGAGCCCCGGGGCUGGGAAGCGCGGGCGCUCAGCGCUCGGCGCCGCCCCAGGAGGACGCGGCCGGGCAGCGGAGCGCCCUGCGGGAGCAGCUGAAGCAAACGCAACGGGAGAGGACCGGGCGGCUGCGAGCCCUCGGGGCCAGGAACACCCAGAACUUCCAGCAACUUCUGUGGCCCCCUGGCUCUGAGGAGCCUGCGCCUGGAGAGCAUCGCUCACUCUUCCCAGCCCUCUCUGGUCACUGCUGAAUCCUCAAAGGGACGAUUAAAGAGACGGGGAUUUAAGGAAAAAGCAAGAGGGCAACCUCCCACUGCCUGGCCCAAGGUCAGAGGGCCAGGUCCCGGGGGUCAAGCAGUGCGAAGGCCCCAUUCUUGCGGAAGAAAGAUUCAAUGCGGCACAUCUUGCAGGA